RNAcentral lists this long non-coding RNA (1570 nucleotides) under Salvia miltiorrhiza (redroot sage). RNAcentral's name for it is "long non-coding RNA (SMIL_LNC007012)". Lineage: Eukaryota; Viridiplantae; Streptophyta; Magnoliopsida; Lamiales; Lamiaceae. The record is from RNAcentral.
UAAACGCCAAGUAAUGCCAUUUGUGAAGUAUUAUACAUAUAUAUUUAGUUUCUAUGCAAACUUUUUUGAAAUAUAAACGUAUGAGAUUAUACAAAAUUACAAUGGUGUGUGAUAACAAACACUAAAAUGGUGUGCAGAACGGGAAGUUGAUUAAAACCUUGAAGUUUACACGAGAAAAACCAAUGAAAUUUAUUAACUACACAAUGAAAACAUACACAAACAUGGCUCUCAAUGCCAGAUAAAUGAAAUCCAAACAAUGGUCCUAUCCACGUGAACUACUCUCAUAAUUCAUAAACACCACCAGAAACGCCCAAAUCUAACAGGUAUACAUAAAGCGACACCAAAUAAUCCAAACGACAAGUCUGUCUACAUGAUGAGGCCCAAGGCAACCCAGGCAAAUACCACCGAGGUAGCACUCAUAGUCGCAAUCGUGGCGGAGGAGCCAGGAGACGGGGGCGCAGGCGGGCCCUCCGGUGUACUAGGAGCCGCUCCUGGAGUCCCCGGUGAUGGACUUCCACCGGGUGUUGAAGACGGUGAUCCCGGCGUUGGUGAGGGUGAUGAAGACGGUGAUCCCGGCGUUGGCGCUGGUGUUGGUGUUGGUGUUGGUGUUGGUGACGGAGACGGUGAUCCCGGCGGUGUAGGGGCGACACCGGGGGCCGGGGCUGGGGCUGGGGUGGGGACCACAGGGGGAGAAGGAGCCGGUGACGGAGACGGAGACGAGGCGGCAGUGACAUUGAUGGCCAGCUUUUGGCCCAAGGAGCAAUGAGUGCCGAAUGUACAGAUGUAGUGAUGCUCUCCGGUGGCGUUGAGAGUGGUGUUCCAUGGGCCAACGGUGGCGAGCACCAAGGGGGUGGUGGAGCUACAACUAUCAAAUGCUGCCUUACUCACUUCAGCUACAUCGUGCUGCCCUGUUAUGAAAUUGAACACUGCAAAUAUUUCCCACCAAUUUCUUAGUAUGUUUCCGAGGAAAUGAGGUUGGGAUUUUUAUCAAAUUCUGCUCAAUAAUUUUAUCAUUUAAAUUGAAAAAAGUUUUCCAUGUUUGUCUCUGACAUAUACAUAAUCUAUUAUUAUUUAGAGCGCACACAAUCAUUCACCUACUCAUGUAACAUUAUAAAUACAUUGAAAUUAGUAAAAGCAGCCACCAAAGUCCAUAUUCAAGUUUACUCAAGGGAGCAACAAAAUAAAUAAAUAAACUUGUGAAAAAUUGAUAAAGCUUUCUCCUAGAGAGAGAGAGAGAGAGUUAGGUACCAAGAACAUCUCCAGAUGUAAAAACAUGGCGACUAGCCCAGGUGGCGUAGUCGGUGGGGCUGCUAGGAAUACUCCAGCCUAGACUGUCUCCGACAAUAUAGGUAGCCGCAGACGCUUUUCCGACGAGGGCCGCCGCCACGAGCACGGCCACAAGAAAGCCACGACCAUCCAAACCCAUCCUUCCUUCCUUGCUUGUAUAUGUUCUCUGGUCGCCCCUGUAUGAAUAUGAAUAUGAAUUUAUGAUCAAAUUUAGAGGUGUAGAUUGAUAUCUAUUUAUAGAAUAGCCUUUUUGAAAAGUCUUAGUUAUAAUAUCUACUACUAU